GGGGUUCUGAUCUCCAGAGGACGUCAAGAUCGAGAGUGUUCCACGGCAAGAAUUAGGUCGGCAUUGAGACACCAUGAGAUCAACGCCUCUGCUUCAUGAGAUGUCAGUCCUUCAAUUAGGAAAGAUGUCUAAGCAUUCGUUUUGGACGGAACGGGGUGGCCAGGUUAAAGUACACAUUACCCGGAAGGACAUGACCUACGAAGUGAGCUAGCACCUUGAUUCGUUCCUAAAUUGGGGAUCAUGGGCUGUUCAUCAGCAGCAUUUAAGGGUGAGGUCAGCCUUUCUUCUCCUUUUAGCUGGUUUGAGGAAGGGAAGUGAUGCUGUAUUGAUGAUAAACUCUUAAAGAAGCUGAUCAGCUAAUAUUAGAAACAUGUCAUUGAGGUGCUGUCCAGUGGGUCUUGGACCAGGUGGUGAGGAAGGAACCAAUUGAAGCGAGAAGCUCAU
Nymphaea colorata (pocket water lily) is the source of this 444-nucleotide long non-coding RNA. RefSeq lists it as uncharacterized. The record is from RefSeq and is a predicted model, not a curated record. The transcript is spliced from 3 exons. NCBI's taxonomy places the organism in Eukaryota, Viridiplantae, Streptophyta, Magnoliopsida, Nymphaeales, Nymphaeaceae.